UGGGGAAUAUUGGACAAUGGGCGCAAGCCUGAUCCAGCCAUGCCGCGUGAGUGAUGAAGGCCUUAGGGUUGUAAAGCUCUUUCGCCGGUGAAGAUAAUGACGGUAACCGGAGAAGAAGCCCCGGCUAACUUCGUGCCAGCAGCCGCGGUAAUACGAAGGGGGCUAGCGUUGCUCGGAAUCACUGGGCGUAAAGCGCACGUAGGCGGAUCGUUAAGUCAGGGGUGAAAUCCUGGAGCUCAACUCCAGGAACUGCCCUUGAUACUGGCGAUCUCGAGUUCGAGAGAGGUUGGUGGAACUCCGAGUGUAGAGGUGAAAUUCGUAGAUAUUCGGAAGAACACCAGUGGCGAAGGCGGCCAACUGGCUCGAUACUGGCGCUGAGGUGCGAAAAGCGUGGGGAGCAAAACAGGAUUAGAUACCCUGGUAGUCCACGCCGUAAACGAUGGAUGCUAGCCGUUGGGGGUUUACCUCUCAGUGGCGCAGCUAACGCCUUAAGCAUCCCGCCUGGGGAGUACGGUCGCAAGAUUAAAAACUCAAAGGAAUUGACGGGGUCAUAGCUGUUUCCU
RNAcentral lists this ribosomal RNA (563 nucleotides) under uncultured bacterium. RNAcentral describes it as "partial 16S ribosomal RNA". It matches the Rfam family "Bacterial small subunit ribosomal RNA", at positions 355 to 1375 of the family's 1533-position model. The record is from RNAcentral.